Felis catus (domestic cat) is the source of this 710-nucleotide long non-coding RNA. RefSeq lists it as uncharacterized. The record is from RefSeq and is a predicted model, not a curated record. Lineage: Eukaryota; Metazoa; Chordata; Mammalia; Carnivora; Felidae. The transcript has 2 exons.
AUGAGUGGGAACAGAGACGUGUUCCGGCCUUGAGAGUCCAUGGGGAGGCCUGCGUGUGCUGUGCACGGGUUUGGGUGUCUGGGGUGGGUGCUGGGCACGUGCGUCCAGCCCGGGGAAUUCUUUCUUUGUUCUUAGCGGAGGUCCCCGCAGGGGCAGAGAGAUGGGGUGUCUCUUCCUCCCCCUUAAAUCCACAUCUCCCGGUUCCUGGGCUGCUUCCCCAAAGGGAAGACAUGAGUGGGAGAUGGUCACCAUCCCUUUUUGAAGGAAACAGCUGGGGUGCUGUGGUGUGUGUGUGUGUGUGUGUGUGCAUGCAUCUAAGUGUGUGUCUUUGUAGGGCAUCCUCUUGAGUGUACGCUGGGCCCAAAGAAAACUUUUGAUCUCCCAGAGAAGGCCUGGAGGCGAAGCCCCGAAGGCAGCAAGCCCUGUGCCCACUACUGAGGACAGCAAAGGAGGCAUGAUCCAGGCCUGGCCAAUCAGAGUGCCCCAUCCUGGCGCUGUGGUUGGUUCAGAGAUGGGCAUGUGACCCCCUUGGCCAGAAGCUUUUCUGCCGGAACGGCUUUGGAACCUUCACUACCACGUUCUUUCUUUGGCUUUUGAGCCAUAAAUCCCUUAUCGACUUUAGCUGGUUUGCAUUUUCACUGUUCUGCGAUUGGGAGAGCCCUGAGCAGAUCAGAAAUAAUAAAGUACUUCCUGUGUGGCAGGUUCAUUGA